Molecule: small nucleolar RNA, 72 nt
Filed under: Drosophila grimshawi
Lineage: Eukaryota; Metazoa; Arthropoda; Insecta; Diptera; Drosophilidae
Description: snoRNA:GH25772
Source: RNAcentral
UAGAUGAUGAAUACCUUUUUAAUAUCAUAACUUUCGUUCUACUGAGUCGAAAAUGCGGAGAAAGAUUACUGA